CUCCAGACUCCUACGGGAGGCAGCAGUGAGGAAUAUUGGUCAAUGGGCGCGAGCCUGAACCAGCCAAGUCGCGUGAGGGAUGAAGGAUCUAUGGUUCGUAAACCUCUUUUAUAAGGGAAUAAAGUGCGGGACGCGUCCCGCUUCGCAUGUACCUUAUGAAUAAGGAUCGGCUAACUCCGUGCCAGCAGCCGCGGUAAUACGGAGGAUCCGAGCGUUAUCCGGAUUUAUUGGGUUUAAAGGGUGCGUAGGCGGAAUAUCAAGUCAGCGGUAAAAAUUCGGGGCUCAACCCCGUCGUGCCGUUGAAACUGAUGUUCUUGAGUGGGCGAGAAGUAUGCGGAAUGCGUGGUGUAGCGGUGAAAUGCAUAGAUAUCACGCAGAACUCCGAUUGCGAAGGCAGCAUACCGGCGCCCAACUGACGCUGAAGCACGAAAGCGUGGGUAUCGAACAGGAUUAGAUACCCGUGUAC
This 466-nucleotide ribosomal RNA is filed under the name uncultured bacterium. Its description in RNAcentral is "bacterial SSU rRNA". It matches the Rfam family "Bacterial small subunit ribosomal RNA", at positions 329 to 793 of the family's 1533-position model. The record is from RNAcentral.